GACGAACGCUGGCGGCGUGCUUAACACAUGCAAGUCGAACGGAAAGGCCCUGCUUUUGUGGGGUGCUCGAGUGGCGAACGGGUGAGUAACACGUGAGUAACCUGCCCUUGACUUUGGGAUAACUUCAGGAAACUGGGGCUAAUACCGGAUAGGAGCUCCUGCUGCAUGGUGGGGGUUGGAAAGUUUCGGCGGUUGGGGAUGGACUCGCGGCUUAUCAGCUUGUUGGUGGGGUAGUGGCUUACCAAGGCUUUGACGGGUAGCCGGCCUGAGAGGGUGACCGGCCACAUUGGGACUGAGAUACGGCCCAGACUCCUACGGGAGGCAGCAGUGGGGGAUACUGCACAAUGGGCGGAAGCCUGAUGCAGCAACGCCGCGUGCGGGAUGACGGCCUUCGGGUUGUAAACCGCUUUCGCCUGUGACGAAGCGUGAGUGACGGUAAUGGGUAAAGAAGCACCGGCUAACUACGUG
Molecule: ribosomal RNA, 468 nt
Filed under: uncultured bacterium
Lineage: Bacteria
Description: partial 16S ribosomal RNA
Rfam family: Bacterial small subunit ribosomal RNA
Source: RNAcentral